RNAcentral lists this ribosomal RNA (119 nucleotides) under Carassius auratus (goldfish). Lineage: Eukaryota; Metazoa; Chordata; Actinopteri; Cypriniformes; Cyprinidae. The record is from RNAcentral.
GCUUACGGCCAUACCAACCAGGCUAUGCCCGAUCUCGUCUGAUCUCGGAAGCUAAGCAGGUUUGGGCCUGGUUAGUACUUGGAUGGGAGACCACCUGGGAAUACCAGGUGCUGUAAGCU